RNAcentral lists this ribosomal RNA (495 nucleotides) under uncultured bacterium. RNAcentral describes it as "partial 16S ribosomal RNA". It matches the Rfam family "Bacterial small subunit ribosomal RNA", at positions 28 to 507 of the family's 1533-position model. The record is from RNAcentral.
GACGAACGCUGGCGGCGUGCCUAAUACAUGCAAGUAGAACGCUGAAGGAGGAGCUUGCUCUUCUGGAUGAGUUGCGAACGGGUGAGUAACGCGUAGGUAACCUGCCUGGUAGCGGGGGAUAACUAUUGGAAACGAUAGCUAAUACCGCAUAACAGUAGAUGUUGCAUGACAUUUGCUUAAAAGGUGCAAUUGCACCACUACCAGAUGGACCUGCGUUGUGUUGGCUAGUUGGUGGGGUAACGGCUCACCAAGGCGACGAUACAUAGCCGACCUGGGAGGGGGAUCGGCCACGCUGGGACUGAGACACGGCCCAGACUCCUACGGGAGGCAGCAGUAGGGGAUCUUCGGCAAUGGACGGAAGUCUGACCGAGAAACGCCGCGUGAGUGAAGAAGGUUUUCGGAUCGUAAAGCUCGGUUGUAAGAGAAGAACGAGUGUGAGAGUGGAAAGUUCACACUGUGACGGUAUCUUACCAGAAAGGGACGGCUAACUACGUG